Molecule: ribosomal RNA, 100 nt
Filed under: Pseudomonas aeruginosa
Lineage: Bacteria; Pseudomonadati; Pseudomonadota; Gammaproteobacteria; Pseudomonadales; Pseudomonadaceae
Source: RNAcentral
CUUGACGAUCAUAGAGCGUUGGAACCACCUGAUCCCUUCCCGAACUCAGAAGUGAAACGACGCAUCGCCGAUGGUAGUGUGGGGUCUCCCCAUGUGAGAG